CAAUAGCGUAUAUUAAUGUUGUUGCAGUUAAAAAGCUCGUAGUUGGAUUUCUGGUGAGAGCGGCCGGUCCGCCGUAAGGUGUGUACUUGGUUGUCUCCUGCCAUCCUUGUGGGAACUGCUCUGGCAUUAAGUUGUCGGGGUUAGGGAACACAUCGUUUACUGUGAAAAAAUUAGAGUGUUUAAAGCAGGCUUAUGCCGUUGAAUACAUUAGCAUGGAAUAAUAAGAUAGGACUUUGGCGUCUAUUUUGUUGGUUUGCACACCAAGGUAAUGAUUAAUAGGGAUAGUUGGGGGUAUUCGUAUUUAAUUGUCAGAGGUGAAAUUCUUGGAUUUAUGAAAGACGAACUUCUGCGAAAGCAUUUACCAAAGAUGUUUUCAUUAA
Molecule: ribosomal RNA, 380 nt
Filed under: uncultured eukaryote
Lineage: Eukaryota
Description: partial 18S ribosomal RNA
Rfam family: Eukaryotic small subunit ribosomal RNA
Source: RNAcentral